ACUUCUGAAAGUUUACACGAUCAUAAAUAAUGUCUAUCUGCAGAAGUAUAUCCAAACUACUCGCACAUUCGACUGCUGUAAGAAGAAAGAACUGUCAACUCAUUGGAAAAUGCCAUGAUUACCAUUUCAGCUCCAUCUUCUUUGCUCCAAAAAUCAAUCUUCCAAUUUAAUCAACUAGUAGGUAGGUUUAUACUCGUUAACUUAAGAUUGGCAACAAAAAACAGCAGGAAAAAGCAAAGGUAGUCUAACUACCACUUGAGAAAUGAGCUGAUCAAUGUUGAGAAACACAAUCAGGCUAUCAUGAUUAACAGGGAAAAUAAUUAAUCCUUCAAAUCUAAAAAACAAGUAGGUAGGUUUAUACUCAGUAACUUAAGAUUGGCAACAAAACGUUGUAACUGCUA
Molecule: long non-coding RNA, 401 nt
Organism: Rhodamnia argentea
Lineage: Eukaryota; Viridiplantae; Streptophyta; Magnoliopsida; Myrtales; Myrtaceae
Exons: 2
Source: RefSeq, a predicted model, not a curated record